UACGGGGGGGGUAAGCGUUGUUCGGAAUUACUGGGCGUAAAGGGCUCGUAGGCGGCCAACUAAGUCGGACGUGAAAUCCCUCAGCUUAACUGGGGAACUGCGUCCGAUACUGGAUGGCUUGGAUUUGGGAGAGGGAUGCGGAAUUCCAGGUGUAGCGGUGAAAUGCGUAGAUAUCUGGAGGAACACCGGUGGCGAAGGCGGCAUCCUGGACCAACAUUGACGCUGAGGAGCGAAAGCUAGGGGAGCAAACGGG
This 253-nucleotide ribosomal RNA is filed under the name uncultured bacterium. RNAcentral's name for it is "partial 16S ribosomal RNA". It matches the Rfam family "Bacterial small subunit ribosomal RNA", at positions 524 to 776 of the family's 1533-position model. The record is from RNAcentral.